RNAcentral lists this ribosomal RNA (492 nucleotides) under uncultured bacterium. RNAcentral's name for it is "partial 16S ribosomal RNA". It matches the Rfam family "Bacterial small subunit ribosomal RNA", at positions 29 to 507 of the family's 1533-position model. The record is from RNAcentral.
AGUGAACGCUGGCGGUAGGCCUAACACAUGCAAGUCGAACGGCAGCACAGUAAGAGCUUGCUCUUACGGGUGGCGAGUGGCGGACGGGUGAGGAAUACAUCGGAAUCUACUUUUUCGUGGGGGAUAACGGAGGGAAACUUACGCUAAUACCGCAUACGACCUACGGGUGAAAGCAGUGGAUCUACGGACCUUGCGCGAUUGAAUGAGCCGAAGUCGGAUUAGCUAGUUGGCGGGGUAAAGGCCCACCAAGGCGACGAUCCGUAGCUGGUCUGAGAGGAUGAUCAGCCACACUGGAACUGAGACACGGUCCAGACUCCUACGGGAGGCAGCAGUGGGGAAUAUUGGACAAUGGGCGCAAGCCUGAUCCAGCCAUACCGCGUGAGUGAAGAAGGCCUUCGGGUUGUAAAGCCCUUUUGUUGGGAAAGAAAAGCAGCAGGAUAAUACCCCGCUGUUCUGACGGUACCCAAAGAAUAAGCACCGGCUAACUUCGUG